GACGAACGCUGGCGGCGUGCUUAACACAUGCAAGUCGAACGGUGAAGCGCCUUCCUCUUUGGUGGGUGUGGAUGAGUGGCGAACGGGUGAGUAACACGUGAGUAACCUGCCCCCUUCUUCUGGAUAACCGCAUGAAAGUGUGGCUAAUACGGGAUAUUCUGGGUCUGUCGCAUGAUGGGUCUGGGAAAGAUAUUGUUUCGGUGGGGGAUGGGCUCGCGGCCUAUCAGCUUGUUGGUGGGGUGAUGGCCUACCAAGGCGGUGACGGGUAGCCGGCCUGAGAGGGUGGACGGUCACACUGGGACUGAGACACGGCCCAGACUCCUACGGGAGGCAGCAGUGGGGAAUAUUGCACAAUGGGCGCAAGCCUGAUGCAGCGACGCCGCGUGAGGGAUGGAGGCCUUCGGGUUGUGAACCUCUUUCGCCAGUGAAGCAGGCCUGCCUCGUUUGUGGGUGGGUUGACGGUAGCUGGAGAAGAAGCGCCGGCUAACUACGUG
RNAcentral lists this ribosomal RNA (494 nucleotides) under uncultured bacterium. RNAcentral describes it as "partial 16S ribosomal RNA". It matches the Rfam family "Bacterial small subunit ribosomal RNA", at positions 28 to 507 of the family's 1533-position model. The record is from RNAcentral.